UUUCCCAUUUGACUACCCCUUUUUCUCCUAAAAAUAGAUUUUGGUGGCUAUGCUUAUGGGAUACAGUAAAGUGGCCAUGAUCUGAAGGGGGCGGGCCUGACGUGCCCUCCUCCUAUAUGAAAUGGCUGAACAGACAGAA
Molecule: small nucleolar RNA, 139 nt
Organism: Perognathus longimembris pacificus (Pacific pocket mouse)
Lineage: Eukaryota; Metazoa; Chordata; Mammalia; Rodentia; Heteromyidae
Product: small nucleolar RNA SNORA29
Exons: 1
Source: RefSeq, a predicted model, not a curated record